UAACACCUUCAUGAAUCAAAAGCGUAGCGUCACCACCAUCAUCAACAAUCAGAUCAGGACCACCACCUGGACCCCAAUCAAGAGCACGUUCCGUACACCACCAAUACUCCUGAAGCGUCUCACCUUUCCAGGCGAAAACAGCGGCGGAGUCACGAGCGAUUGCGGCGGCGGCGUGGUCUUGAGUGGAGAAGAUGUUGCAAGAACACCAUCUGACUUCAGCACCGAGAGCAGUUAGGGUUUCGAUGAGUACGGCGGUUUGGAUCGUCAUGUGAAGAGAUCCGGUGAUUCUAGCGCCUUUGAAUGGUUGAGAUGGUCCGAACUCGGUACGACAAGCCAUGAGUCCAGGCAUCUCAACUUCGGCGAGCUCGAGUUCGAGACGACCGAAAUCGGCUUGAGACAUGUCUUUGACCUUGUAUUCACGGCCGCUUGAGGUCUUCUCGACGAGCAACGCCAUUUUUCUAGAUCUGAGAUUUGAAAUCGAAGGAGGCAGAGAGAGAG
This 498-nucleotide long non-coding RNA is filed under the name Arabidopsis lyrata. RNAcentral's name for it is "long non-coding RNA (ALYR_LNC000957)". Lineage: Eukaryota; Viridiplantae; Streptophyta; Magnoliopsida; Brassicales; Brassicaceae. The record is from RNAcentral.